Molecule: transfer RNA, 52 nt
Filed under: Centrorhynchus aluconis
Lineage: Eukaryota; Metazoa; Acanthocephala; Palaeacanthocephala; Polymorphida; Centrorhynchidae
Description: tRNA-Pro
Source: RNAcentral
CGUAAUUUAGUUUAAGGGAAUGCGGGCUUUGGGGGCUUGAGGGGGUUUGCGA